GGACUACACGGGUAUCUAAUCCUGUUUGCUACCCACGCUUUCGUGUCUCAGCGUCAGUUACGGUCCAGAAAGCCGUCUACACCACCGGUGUUCCUCCUGAUAUCUACGCAUUUCACCGCUACACCAGGAAUUCCACUUUCCUCUCCCGCACUCUAGUCAUUCAGUAUUCGGCGCACCCUCCCAGUUGAGCCGGGAGAUUUCACACCAAACUUAAACAACCGCCUACACACCCUUUACGCCCAGUAACUCCGAACAACGCUUGCUGCCUACGUAUUACCGCGGCUGCUGGCAC
RNAcentral lists this ribosomal RNA (292 nucleotides) under uncultured Acidobacteriota bacterium. RNAcentral describes it as "uncultured Acidobacteria bacterium partial 16S ribosomal RNA". The record is from RNAcentral. Lineage: Bacteria; Pseudomonadati; Acidobacteriota.